CAGCAGUGGGGAAUAUUGCACAAUGGGCGAAAGCCUGAUGCAGCAACGCCGCGUGAGGGAUGACGGCCUUCGGGUUGUAAACCUCUUUUAGCAGGGAAGAAGCGAAAGUGACGGUACCUGCAGAAAAAGCGCCGGCUAACUACGUGCCAGCAGCCGCGGUAAUACGUAGGGCGCAAGCGUUAUCCGGAAUUAUUGGGCGUAAAGAGCUCGUAGGCGGUUUGUCGCGUCUGCUGUGAAAUCCCGAGGCUCAACUUCGGGUCUGCAGUGGGUACGGGCAGACUAGAGUGCGGUAGGGGAGAUUGGAAUUCCUGGUGUAGCGGUGGAAUGCGCAGAUAUCAGGAGGAACACCGAUGGCGAAGGCAGAUCUCUGGGCCGUAACUGACGCUGAGGAGCGAAAGGGUGGGGAGCAAACAGGCUUAGAUACCCUGGUAGUCCACCCCGUAAACGUUGGGAACUAGUUGUGGGGUCCAUUCCACGGAUUCCGUGACGCAGCU
RNAcentral lists this ribosomal RNA (494 nucleotides) under uncultured bacterium. Its description in RNAcentral is "bacterial SSU rRNA". It matches the Rfam family "Bacterial small subunit ribosomal RNA", at positions 349 to 853 of the family's 1533-position model. The record is from RNAcentral.